This 307-nucleotide long non-coding RNA is filed under the name Anser brachyrhynchus (Pink-footed goose). Its description in RNAcentral is "lncRNA (ENSABRG00000014425.1)". Lineage: Eukaryota; Metazoa; Chordata; Aves; Anseriformes; Anatidae. The record is from RNAcentral.
GAAAGACUGUAACAAACAUCACAGAAAGGCAGAAGUACCCCUCUUCUUCAGAAUCCAAUGAAACCUCCCACACUUUAACAGUGGGAAGUGAUGCCUCAUGGGGAAGAAUUGCCCUGAAAUGCUUUGGAGCAGCAGUGGGGUAUGAACAUCCAGCUGACCCAGCUCUGCUUCCAUCAGAGCAGUUUGGACUGAAGAAGAGCUCCUGCUGGGACAUUUUAAGAAUAAAAGCAAUUAACACAAAUAACAGUUGACUAUUUACAUUCUCAAGACCUGAUCUCUCUCUUAUUAAAAACAACUGAAAGACUCC